This 679-nucleotide ribosomal RNA is filed under the name uncultured Alphaproteobacteria bacterium. RNAcentral's name for it is "bacterial SSU rRNA". It matches the Rfam family "Bacterial small subunit ribosomal RNA", at positions 8 to 735 of the family's 1533-position model. Lineage: Bacteria; Pseudomonadati; Pseudomonadota; Alphaproteobacteria. The record is from RNAcentral.
AGAGUUUGAUCAUGGCUCAGAACGAACGCUGGCGGCAGGCCUAACACAUGCAAGUCGAGCGCACCUUCGGGUGAGCGGCGGACGGGUUAGUAACGCGUGGGAACGUGCCCUUCUCUAAGGAAUAGCCACUGGAAACGGUGAGUAAUACCUUAUACGCCCUUCGGGGGAAAGAUUAAUCGGAGAAGGAUCGGCCCGCGUUAGAUUAGAUAGUUGGUGGGGUAACGGCCUACCAAGUCUACGAUCUAUAGCUGGUUUUAGAGGAUGAUCAGCAACACUGGGACUGAGACACGGCCCAGACUCCUACGGGAGGCAGCAGUGGGGAAUCUUGGACAAUGGGCGCAAGCCUGAUCCAGCCAUGCCGCGUGAGUGAUGAAGGCCUUAGGGUCGUAAAGCUCUUUCGCCAGGGAUGAUAAUGACAGUACCUGGUAAAGAAACCCCGGCUAACUCCGUGCCAGCAGCCGCGGUAAUACGGAGGGGGUUAGCGUUGUUCGGAAUUACUGGGCGUAAAGCGUACGUAGGCGGAUUAGUCAGUCAGAGGUGAAAUCCCAGGGCUCAACCCUGGAACUGCCUUUGAUACUGCUAGUCUUGAGUUCGAGAGAGGUGAGUGGAAUUCCGAGUGUAGAGGUGAAAUUCGUAGAUAUUCGGAGGAACACCAGUGGCGAAGGCGGCUCACUGGCUC